CAAUAGCGUAUAUUAAAGUUGUUGCGGUUAAAAAGCUCGUAGUUGGAUUUCUGCUGAGGACGACCGGUCCGCCCUCUGGGUGAGUAUCUGGCUUGGCCUUGGCAUCUUCUUGGAGAACGUAGCUGCACUUGACUGUGUGGUGCGGUAUCCAGGACUUUUACUUUGAGGAAAUUAGAGUGUUUCAAGCAGGCACACGCCUUGAAUACAUUAGCAUGGAAUAAUAACUGACGACGUCGGUCGUUUUUUGUUGGUUCGGAUGGCUGAUGUAAUGAUUGAUAGAGUUAGUCGGAGGUAUUAGUAUUUUAUCGUUAGAGGUGAAAUUCAUGGAUCGGUAAAAGACUAACAACUGCGAAAGCAUUUAUCUAGGAUUUGCUCUUUGAUCAAGAACGAAAGUUGGGGGAUCGAAGAUGAUUAGAUACCAU
This 422-nucleotide ribosomal RNA is filed under the name uncultured eukaryote. Its description in RNAcentral is "bacterial SSU rRNA". It matches the Rfam family "Eukaryotic small subunit ribosomal RNA", at positions 592 to 1018 of the family's 1831-position model. The record is from RNAcentral.